This 163-nucleotide ribosomal RNA is filed under the name Elatostema villosum. Its description in RNAcentral is "5.8S ribosomal RNA". It matches the Rfam family "5.8S ribosomal RNA". From Rfam's summary of the family: 5.8S ribosomal RNA (5.8S rRNA) is a component of the large subunit of the eukaryotic ribosome. It is transcribed by RNA polymerase I as part of the 45S precursor that also contains 18S and 28S rRNA. Functionally, it is thought that 5.8S rRNA may be involved in ribosome translocation. Lineage: Eukaryota; Viridiplantae; Streptophyta; Magnoliopsida; Rosales; Urticaceae. The record is from RNAcentral.
UAAUGACUCUCGGCAACGGAUAUCUCGGCUCUCGCAUCGAUGAAGAACGUAGCAAAAUGCGAUACGUGGUGUGAAUUGCAGAAUUCUGUGAACCAUCGAGUAUUUGAACGCAAGUUGCGCCCAAUGUCAUUUGGUUGAGGGCACGUCUGCCUGGGUGUCACGC